Molecule: ribosomal RNA, 450 nt
Filed under: uncultured Glomus
Lineage: Eukaryota; Fungi; Glomeromycota; Glomeromycetes; Glomerales; Glomeraceae
Description: SSU rRNA
Rfam family: Eukaryotic small subunit ribosomal RNA
Source: RNAcentral
AGCAGCCGCGGUAAUUCCAGCUCCAAUAGCGUAUAUUAAAGUUGUUGCAGUUAAAAAGCUCGUAGUUGAAUUUCGGGAUCAAUUUGCUGGUCGUGCCUCUGGUACGUACUGGUAUUAUUGGUUUCUCCCUUCUGACGAACCAUGAUGUCAUUAAUUUGAUGUCGUGGAGAAUCAGGACUGUUACUUUGAAAAAUUAGAGUGUUUAAAGCAGGCAUUAGCUUGAAUACAUUAGCAUGGAAUAAUGAAAUAGGACGUUUGAUCCUAUUUUGUUGGUUUCUAGGACUGACGUAAUGAUUAAUAGGGAUAGUUGGGGGCAUUAGUAUUCAAUUGUCAGAGGUGAAAUUCUUGGAUUUAUUGAAGACUAACUACUGCGAAAGCAUUUGCCAAGGAUGUUUUCAUUAAUCAAGAACGAAAGUUAGGGGAUCGAAGACGAUCAGAUACCGUCGUAGU